CCUACGGGAGGCAGCAGUGAGGAAUAUUGGUCAAUGGACGAGAGUCUGAACCAGCCAAGUAGCGUGAAGGAUGAAUGCCCUAUGGGUUGUAAACUUCUUUUAUAUGGGAAUAAAAUGUUCCACGUGUGGGAUUUCGUAUGUACCAUAUGAAUAAGGAUCGGCUUACUACGGGCCAGCAGCCGCGGUAAUACGGAGGAUCCGAACGUUAUCCGGGUUUAUUGUGUUUAGAGGAAGAGUAGGUGGAUUGUUAAGUCAGUUGUGAAAGUUUGCGGCUCAACCGUAAAAUUGCAGUUGAAACUGGCAGUCUUGAGUACAGUAGAGGUGGGCGGAAUUCGUGGUGUAGCGGUGAAAUGCUUAGAUAUCUCGAAGAACUCCGAUUGCGAAGGCAGCUCACUGGACUGCAACUGACACUGAGGCUCGAAAGUGUGGGUAUCAAACAGGAUUAGAUACCCCUGUAGUC
This 460-nucleotide ribosomal RNA is filed under the name uncultured bacterium. RNAcentral describes it as "partial 16S ribosomal RNA". It matches the Rfam family "Bacterial small subunit ribosomal RNA", at positions 338 to 795 of the family's 1533-position model. The record is from RNAcentral.